AUGCCUUCGGGUAGGAUGAUUCAAUAUCAUCUGUUCUUAUCAGUUUAAUAUCUGAUACGUCCCCUAUCUGGGGACCAUAUAUUAAAUGGAUUUUUAGAACAGGGAGAUGGAAGAAGAGCUUGCUCUGUCCACUCCACGCAUCGACCUGGUAUUGCAGUACCUCUAGAACCGGUGCACGUCUC
Molecule: small nuclear RNA, 182 nt
Filed under: Xenopus laevis (African clawed frog)
Lineage: Eukaryota; Metazoa; Chordata; Amphibia; Anura; Pipidae
Description: U2 spliceosomal RNA
Rfam family: U2 spliceosomal RNA
About the family: U2 is a small nuclear RNA (snRNA) component of the spliceosome (involved in pre-mRNA splicing).
Source: Rfam by way of RNAcentral